UCUAAGGUCGUUUCGUUGGAUUUUUGCUGCAGAAGAAAGGUUUUGGCUUUGCCUAAUCAUAAUGUUUUAAUUUAAAUUUAGUCUACUCACAGAAGUAUGGACUUUUAGAGUAAUUGAAACAAAACUAGAAGAACCCAGAAAUGGCUGAAAUCGAUGAUGAUUCAGAUCCUAGACGAAGAACUACAAAAAGAACGUUCAACUCAUCAUGGGAUAGCGAUGAUGAACUGCUCCAAGAUGAUUUACAAAUUAAAAGA
Anneissia japonica is the source of this 254-nucleotide long non-coding RNA. RefSeq lists it as uncharacterized. Lineage: Eukaryota; Metazoa; Echinodermata; Crinoidea; Comatulida; Comatulidae. The record is from RefSeq and is a predicted model, not a curated record. The transcript is spliced from 2 exons.